This 345-nucleotide unclassified non-coding RNA is filed under the name soil metagenome. RNAcentral describes it as "partial contains 5.8S ribosomal RNA, internal transcribed spacer 2, and large subunit ribosomal RNA". The stretch from base 1 to 120 matches the Rfam family "5.8S ribosomal RNA", at positions 35 to 154 of the family's 154-position model. The record is from RNAcentral.
GAUGAAGAACGCAGCGAAAUGCGAUAAGUAAUGUGAAUUGCAGAAUUCAGUGAAUCAUCGAAUCUUUGAACGCACAUUGCGCCCCCUGGUAUUCCGGGGGGCAUGCCUGUCCGAGCGUCAUUGCUGCCCUCAAGCACGGCUUGUGUGUUGGGCCUCCGUCCUCCUCCCGGGGGACGGGCCCGAAAGGCAACGGCGGCACCGCGUCCGGUCCUCGAGCGUAUGGGGCUUCGUCACCCGCUCUUGUAGGCCCGGCCGGCGCUUGCCGACACAUCAAUCUUUUUUCCAGGUUGACCUCGGAUCAGGUAGGGAUACCCGCUGAACUUAAGCAUAUCAAUAAGCGGAGGA